ACGGAAUUGGAAGAUUUGAAGGUGAGAUCUCUUGCAUUUAUUGUUACAUAAUACAAUACGUAAUAUAUGUAGUAUAGUUGCUGUUGCGUACUUCCCUAGAAACAUUAGUAGCCGAGUAACAGUUUAGUCAGCCCAAAUAAGUAUAUUUUAGCUGAAUAAACUGUAGCUCAGCUAAAAAUGUUACUUGGGUUGGAAAUCUUGAAACCUUAAAACAUCCAGGAGGCUGCGAUCAGCUCAGAAAUAUCCUAUUAGGGUUACUCAACCUACAGUUGUCUUCACUUUUUUAGUUUUUUCACAAGAUUGCCUACUGCUGAAAUAGAUGAAUCAAGCAUCGUAUGGCAAACCAAGACGAACAGAGUAAAAAUAGCAGAAUUUUGAUGCACGAAAUUGUGAUAAUCGAAAGGUGGAAGCAGCACUUCUACAAACACCUUAAUUGCGAUGUAAUGCCUGUUGAUGGUUAAGGCAUUUAUUACUUCUACUGUCUACAUCAGUUCAGAGGAGAAAUUCAGUUCAGAGGAUAGAAAACAAUUAUUAGACACCUCGAGAAAAAAUAGGAUCACGGAGAAAAAACGCCCUAGUUUGAAACAACCAACAUGUUUGUUGAAUUUCAAACUGCAAAUAUUGUUAUUUUAAAUCCAAAAUUUGUUGUUCCGAAUUCAUUGUUUUGUUUAAAACUAAUUUGUUUAUUAGGUUGUUUCAAUAUGAAAUCUUGUGUCGUUAUAAUGUGAAUAAUUGUUGUUUCAAACUAAGCUUUUAGGUUGUUUCUACAAACGGCUGGUUUGAUUUUACUAAAAAUUAGGUUAUUUGUUUCUCUAGGUGUCAAAAUAGAAUAAUGGGUUGGUUCGACGAAAAUUGUACGUUGAAUCAAACUUAGAUUUUAUUUGGAUUAGAAACAACCAAAAUUUCAGUUUGAAACUAACCAACUUCAUGUGUUGUUUCUACGAAAGCAAAACUGGUCAACUCAAAUAUGUUAAGUAACUGCAAUUUGUUCCCAGUGAUAAGCAUUUCAACUGGAGUUGCUUGUGAAGAUCCUAUAACGAACGAGAAAUGCUGCGGCUAACCCUUCAUUUUUCUGUUGAAUUCCGAAGCAGAAUGAUUGGAGAAAGUAUGCGUCAUGGCAGAAAAUUUCCAGAAGAUAAGGGCGUGCAGUUUUCGAAAGCAAGAGCCUGGUGUUUCAGGAAUUAUGAUAUGUAAUAAUUAUCUUUGAAGACAUCUACUUUACGAAACCUAAAUGAAUAAUAUAAUAUACCUCAUAAAAUA
Aedes aegypti (yellow fever mosquito) is the source of this 1260-nucleotide long non-coding RNA. RefSeq lists it as uncharacterized. The transcript has 3 exons. The record is from RefSeq and is a predicted model, not a curated record. Lineage: Eukaryota; Metazoa; Arthropoda; Insecta; Diptera; Culicidae.